Molecule: ribosomal RNA, 490 nt
Filed under: uncultured bacterium
Lineage: Bacteria
Description: partial 16S ribosomal RNA
Rfam family: Bacterial small subunit ribosomal RNA
Source: RNAcentral
AUUGAACGCUGGCGGCAGGCCUAACACAUGCAAGUCGAACGGUAACAGGGAUCAGCUUGCUGAUUCGCUGACGAGUGGCGGACGGGUGAGUAAUGUCUGGGAAACUGCCUGAUGGAGGGGGAUAACUACUGGAAACGGUAGCUAAUACCGCAUAACGUCACAAGACCAAAGAGGGGGACCUUCGGGCCUCUUGCCAUCGGAUGUGCCCAGAUGGGAUUAGCUAGUAGGUGGGGUAACGGCUCACCUAGGCGACGAUCCCUAGCUGGUCUGAGAGGAUGACCAGCCACACUGGAACUGAGACACGGUCCAGACUCCUACGGGAGUCAGCAGUGGGGAAUAUUGCACAAUGGGCGCAAGCCUGAUGCAGCCAUGCCGCGUGUAUGAAGAAGGCCUUCGGGUUGUAAAGUACUUUCAGCGGGGAGGAAGGGAGUAAAGUUAAUACCUUUGCUCAUUGACGUUACCCGCAGAAGAAGCACCGGCUAACUCCGUG